Molecule: long non-coding RNA, 1723 nt
Organism: Helianthus annuus (common sunflower)
Lineage: Eukaryota; Viridiplantae; Streptophyta; Magnoliopsida; Asterales; Asteraceae
Exons: 3
Source: RefSeq, a predicted model, not a curated record
UACACCAAAACACACACCUUGAGUGUGUGUUCUGGUCGAUGUCUUCCACAGGAGCAAAGGAGUUCCUUUGUUCAACCCUAACUUGCCUAAAUCCAAGAAAUUGAGAGGCCAAAUCAGUCCCAAAUCGAAAUCCAAGCUCGUAUUCAUGAACACCAAGUUGAAAGGAUCACAAGUUUGACGCGUAACAAGCUAGGUGGAAGCUUGGAGUGAAAGCGGGUCAAACAAGUCGAGCAUGGAAGAAAAGAGUAGCUCGGAUGCAAGGAGCGAUUAGCGAUUCAGUUAAUUUCGCCCACACUAAGUGCGAUGAUAAAAGCAAGGUAUAAAUUGGGUCUAUAUGUUGACCCUAGCCAGGUACGCAUGCAUACGAUUAUAGUUAACAUACAAACUUGGUCAAAUAGGUAGUGAAAGCCCCUCGUAGUAAAUGAGGGGCUAAUGUCGACCAAAAUGCCCUUGAAGGGUAAAUUGAGCAAACAACUUAUAAAGGUUGUUUAGGAACUUAUCUUGCGAUCUUGUAACCUUUAGACGCGCAUGAAAGUUGUAGACAUAAACUUUCGAAAGUUAAAUGCUUAAAUUGUGUGUUGCCGCAAAAAUAACACAUCCGUAGGAUUAAACUCGGAAUAAAUAGUCCAUUUCGCUAAAUCCACCACAUUCAUAGUCGUGGUGGAAGAAUAGCUAAUAACAAAUUGGUGGAACUAUGAGGUACAUGAGAAAUGAGCACCGUUCGUGCUAAAAUGGUCGUAAAUACCCUUAACGGGUCAAAAUAAGAUUUUAAACGAAAACGGGUAAAUAAUUGUGUAGAAACCCGUGUUCAGUACUUAAUAUGAUUGACAAUAUUAGAAUUUAAGGGUUCAUGAUGAAUGGUGGCCAAACAAACAUGUUUGUUUGAUAAUCACAUAGUCGGGUCGAAAAUUGUUGAAAAGAUAAUAAGCCGAAGGCUUAAAAGUCUCAAUUUUAUUUAAUCCGGAUGUCGGAUUUUAACUCCAUAUGAUGGAGAAUUAAAUUACGGACGCGUAGGAAAAAGAAUCGUGUAAAACGGAUUAAAAACGAGAGGGUUAUGUCCGUUUCGGUAGAAAACAAUGAAAAAUAAACGUCAGAGUUGACACGGGCAGGUGACUUUUUGACACGGCCGGGUGGCUGGGCUGUGAAAAAUAUAUGUUAAGCUGACACGGCCGGGUGACUUUUUGGCACGGCCGGGUGAAGGGGCUGAAAACAAAACAAAAAUAAUUUCUUGUUUUGUUACGUUAAGCACGAAACUUGUUUAUACUCGAUUAUUAAAGUGUCAAAACUAAUUAUUUACAUGGUUUUGACCGUAGGUGAAGAUGGACCUAAUCCGGAUGAAGAUCAAGCGGCGAGCAAGAACCGAACACGCGUUAAACAAAGCUUCCGCAAUGUUGUUUCGUCAUUAUUUUAAAACGACGAAUUAAACCACUUUAUGUGGUGUUACUAUAAUUUGUAAAAGUUUUCUUUAAUCCCGUAUUUCCAAUGUAUGUAAUCAUUAAUUACAUGGAUGUUUUCGCAAAAUAUACGUUAAACCUUGAUUUAUAAGAACUGGUGUUACAAGUUGGUAAUCAGAGCUCAAGGUUAAAAGAAUAAAGUGUUCGGUUCGAGGCUUGAUCGCAAAUCCGGUAAGUACAAGUACGUGAAUAGUUAGUAUUCUAAAGUGUUGUAAACAACACAUAGGGCUAUCGUGUGAUACACGCUACCCCAAUUAAAAUGAUUGAAA